This is a long non-coding RNA of Oncorhynchus tshawytscha (Chinook salmon), 785 nucleotides long. Lineage: Eukaryota; Metazoa; Chordata; Actinopteri; Salmoniformes; Salmonidae. The record is from Ensembl.
GUGGUGAGGAGCUGAGGGGCGGUGUGGUGAGGAGCUGAGGGGCGGUGUGGUGAGGAGCUGAGGGGAGGAGCUGUGGUGAGUGAGCUGAGGGGGGAGGAGCUGUGGUGAGGAGCUGAGGGGAGGUGUGGUGAGGAGCUGAGGGGAGGUGUGGUGAGGAGCUGUGGGGCGGUGUGGUGAGGAGCUGAGGGGUGGUGUGGUGAGGAGCUGAGGGGCGGUGUGGUGAGGAGCUGAGGGGCGGUGUGGUGAGGAGCUGAGGGGCGGUGUGGUGAGGAGCUGAGGGGAGGUGUGGUGGGGGCGGUGUGGUGAGGAGCUGAGGGGAGGUGUGGUGAGGAGCUGAGGGGCGGUGUGGUGAGGAGCUGAGUGGUGGUGUGGUGAGGAGCUGAGGGGUGGUGUGGUGAGGAGCUGAGGGGCAGAGCUGAGGGGAGGUGUGGUGAGGAGCUGAGGGGAGGUGUGGUGAGGAGCUGUGGGGCAGAGCUGAGAGGUGGUGUGGUGAGGAGCUGAGAGGUGGUGUGGUGAGGAGCUGAGGGGAGGAGCUGAGGGGAGGUGUGGUGAGGAGCUGAGGGGAGGUGUGGUGAGGAGCUGAGGGGAGGAGCUGAGGGGAGGUGUGGUGAGGAGCUGAGGGGAGGUGUGGUGAGGAGCUGAGGGGCGGUGUGGUGAGGAGCUGAGGGGAGGUGUGGUGAGGAGCUGAGGGGAGGUGUGGUGAGGAGCUGAGGGGAGGUGUAGUGAGGAACUGAGGGGAGGAGCUGAGGGGAGGAGCUGAGGGGAGCUGUGGUGAGGAGCUGGGG